This 60-nucleotide transfer RNA is filed under the name Loxodonta africana (African savanna elephant). It matches the Rfam family "tRNA", at positions 7 to 64 of the family's 71-position model. From Rfam's summary of the family: Transfer RNA (tRNA) molecules are approximately 80 nucleotides in length. Lineage: Eukaryota; Metazoa; Chordata; Mammalia; Proboscidea; Elephantidae. The record is from Rfam by way of RNAcentral.
UUGGCAUAGUGGUUAAGUGCUAUGGCUGCUAACCAAAAGGUUGGCAGUUCGAAUCUGCCA